ACGUGGGGUAACUGAACCUUCUGCCGUUUCCAUCGUACCUGUGGCUGAUGUCUGUUCUGUCCUCAUUGUCGUCAUGGCUUUUGCAAUCGUCGUCGUCGUUGUCCACAGACACAGGAUCAAGAAAGGAGGUAAAGUGUACAGGGCUGGUGACCGCAGUAUGGCUGACAACGAAGCACAAUUUCAACAAGAUCCCAGUGACCUGUAUGCCAAGGUGAACAAAAAGAGGAGGCGCAGAAGAGAAGUGUCUGAUGUUUAUGCCACGGUCCAGAAGGUUCA
Molecule: long non-coding RNA, 276 nt
Organism: Haliotis rubra (blacklip abalone)
Lineage: Eukaryota; Metazoa; Mollusca; Gastropoda; Lepetellida; Haliotidae
Exons: 5
Source: RefSeq, a predicted model, not a curated record